AUUUAUAUAAUAUAACAAUUAUAUUUGACUUCCAAUCAAAAAAUCUUUUACUAGUAUGAAUA
RNAcentral lists this transfer RNA (62 nucleotides) under Imatidium capense. Its description in RNAcentral is "tRNA-Gly". The record is from RNAcentral. Lineage: Eukaryota; Metazoa; Arthropoda; Insecta; Coleoptera; Chrysomelidae.